RNAcentral lists this ribosomal RNA (254 nucleotides) under uncultured bacterium. RNAcentral describes it as "partial 16S ribosomal RNA". It matches the Rfam family "Bacterial small subunit ribosomal RNA", at positions 524 to 776 of the family's 1533-position model. The record is from RNAcentral.
UACAGAGGUGGCAAGCGUUGUUCGGAAUUAUUGGGCGUAAAGAGCUCGUAGGCGGUCUGUCGCGUCGGUCGUGAAAACUUGGGGCUUAACCCUGAGCUUGCGGUCGAUACGGGCAUGACUGGAGUUCGGCAGGGGAGACUGGAAUUCCUGGUGUAGCGGUGAGAUGCGCAGAUAUCAGGAGGAACACCGGUGGCGAAGGCGGGUCUCUGGGCCGAUACUGACGCUGAGGAGCGAAAGCGUGGGGAGCGAACAGG